AUACGGAGGGUGCGAGCGUUGUUCGGAAUUAUUGGGCGUAAAGCGCGUGUAGGCGGUCUUUUAAGUCUGAUGUGAAAGCCCCGGGCUCAACCUGGGAAGUGCAUUGGAAACUGGGGGACUUGAGUACGGGAGAGGGUAGUGGAAUUCCUAGUGUAGGAGUGAAAUCCGUAGAUAUUAGGAGGAACACCGGUGGCGAAGGCGGCUACCUGGACCGAUAUUGACGCUGAGACGCGAAAGCGUGGGGAGC
Molecule: ribosomal RNA, 247 nt
Filed under: uncultured bacterium
Lineage: Bacteria
Description: partial 16S ribosomal RNA
Rfam family: Bacterial small subunit ribosomal RNA
Source: RNAcentral